CUUUUAUGGAGAGUUUGAUCCUGGCUCAGGACGAACGCUGGCGGCGUGCCUAAUACAUGCAAGUCGAGCGGAUGAUGAAG
Molecule: ribosomal RNA, 80 nt
Filed under: Psychrobacillus sp. FJAT-21963
Lineage: Bacteria; Bacillati; Bacillota; Bacilli; Caryophanales; Bacillaceae
Description: partial 16S ribosomal RNA
Rfam family: Bacterial small subunit ribosomal RNA
Source: RNAcentral